UAACAAGGUCUCCGUAGGUGAACCUGCGGAGGGAUCAUUACUGAGUGAGGGCUCACGCCCGACCUCCAACCCUUUGUGAACUCAAGCCGUUCUCUCGGGGGCGACCCUGCCGUUCUCGGCGAGGCGCGCCCCCGGGAGCCUCCCAACACUGCAUCUGUGCGUCGGAGUCAUAAGUAAAUUGAACAAAACUUUCAACAACGGAUCUCUUGGUUCUGGCAUCGAUGAAGAACGCAGCGAAAUGCGAUAAGUAAUGUGAAUUGCAGAAUUCAGUGAAUCAUCGAAUCUUUGAACGCACAUUGCGCCCUUUGGUAUUCCGAAGGGCAUGCCUGUUCGAGCGUCAUUUCACCACUCAAGCCUCGCUUGGUAUUGGGCGCCGCGGUCCCCGCGCGCCUCAAAGUCUCCCGGCUGAGCUGUCCGUCUCCGAGCGUUGUGAUCCAUGAUCGCUCCGGGGUGCGGGCGGCCGCGGCCGUUAAAUCUUUCACCAGGUUGACCUCGGAUCAGGUAGGGAUACCCGCUGAACUUAAGCAUA
This 529-nucleotide ribosomal RNA is filed under the name Ascomycota sp. ARIZ PAAsh2-1. RNAcentral's name for it is "eukaryotic LSU rRNA". The stretch from base 187 to 340 matches the Rfam family "5.8S ribosomal RNA". The record is from RNAcentral. Lineage: Eukaryota; Fungi; Ascomycota.